AAGACUAUAGACCUGCGGAGUACCUGCGGAGGGAUCAUUAGUGAACGCCCUCACGGGUUUAUAACUAUUCCAAACCUCUGUGAACCGUGCCCUUCGGGGCUAUUUUACAAACAUGGUGUAAUGAACGUCAUAUAUCAUAACAAAACAAAACUUUCAGCAACGGAUCUCU
Molecule: unclassified non-coding RNA, 169 nt
Filed under: soil metagenome
Description: partial contains 5.8S ribosomal RNA, internal transcribed spacer 2, and large subunit ribosomal RNA
Source: RNAcentral